UAAAGCAACAUUCAAGCAAAAAAGCAAAAUUAGUAUACCAACUCACUAGUUCAGUUUCACUAGAUAGAAAGCAUACAUGACACACAGCAUUGCAUUCUUAAUUACGUACACACCACAAGACUGGAGAGGAAGGACUAUCAUCGUACAGACGCCAUAGAUGUCUCAAAACAUCUUUAUUCUUAGCACUUAUUAACUAGGAUGCAUUUCUUCAGUCUCAGGUCUUAGAUCACAAACUCACAGAGGAAACACAAAGUUACAGUGACAACAACUCAUCACUCGUAACUGGAUCAUACUACUAGAUUAGCAGUACUAGGUCCUUCCAUCUCCUUGGUUUCCUGAUCAGGAGGUUGCUUGCUUCAACUUGCCGCAGUUGCAGGGGUUGCAGGUGCAGUUGUCGCCGCACUUGCACCCGUUCUCUGCUCCUGCUCCGGCGGCGGCGCCGGCCUCCAACCCUUCGGCAUGACUGCAUCCAUCAGAGAAUUAACCAACCAUAGAUCAGUAAUUAAUUACUCCCUCCGUUUCUAAAUAUUUGACGCCGUUAACUUUUCUAAAUAUAUUUGACCAUUCGUCUUAUUAAAAAAAUUAAGAAAUUAUUAAUUAUUUUCCUAUCAUUUGAUUUAUUAUUAAAUAUACUUUAAUGUAUUCAUAUAGUUUUACAUAUUCCACAAAAUUUUUUAAAUAAGACAAAUAAUCUAACAUGUGUUAAAAAAUUAAUGGUGUCAAACAUUUAGAAACGAAGGGAGUAGAACUCAGCGAAACAUGAAACGAUCUUGGAUUGUUGCUACGCAGUUUUCAGAGUAAAAGGCAUAAUCGUUUUCUUCAGAUAAAGGAGAGAGUUUUUGUCAUAACGUGCAUGAAGUUUUUAGUCGUUUUUCAUUGGCUGUAGCUAGCGCUGCAAUUUUGUCAUACGUACACGUAAAAUGGAAGGCAGUGAGCCUCUCAACAAAAUGUUUUGUACUUUUGUUCUCUGUGAUUCAGAAGGGGAAAAAAGGCAGGAAACAUAUGAUAAUUGACAAAAGAGGUUGGUAGCUAGAAAGAUGGAGGUACUCAAUUCUGUUCUAUUAAAGUAUAUAUAUGGUAGUUAGAGUAGGAUAAGAUUGAUUUACGUGGACUUCUUCCAUAUCCGUAAUUCUUUCUUAUCUCUACACCAUGUACUUCUAUAUAUAGUGAUCCCUGAGACUCAAUACAACGGUGUCAAUAAUCACAAUAUUUCCCUCUCCUUAUACUAUUCAACAAAUUCAGUAAUAUAACACAUGGAUUUUGCCCAUGAACAACAAGUACAGGAUAUGAAGAAGGAAAGGAUUAGUGCACAUACCCCUUGGAAGGUGCAACACCCAUGAUGACAGUCUGGGUGGUGGUCACCUCCUCAGCCAUCCCCGGGUACAUCUUGCAUCUGCAUGUACAAAUAAUCAAUCAGUUUCCCAGGCAAGGAUGGCAAGACUGCUCUCGCCCCUCAACGUACGACAGAAUUUGCCACCAAUUUCAGUUUAUACCGACGAUGCGGUUCUGUUUUUCCGCCCUACAGCUGAAGAAGCUCGAGUCAUCAAGGGUAUCCUGGAGUUGUUCGGGGCUGCCACAGGUCUCAAAACCAAUUUCUCCAAAAGCGCAAUCACUCCAAUCCAAUGUGACGAGCAGCAGUAUGUGCAAGUUGAAUCCAUUCUCUCCUGCCGAGUGGAAAAGUUCCCAAUCACUUAUCUCGGACUCCCUCUCUCCACUAGGAAACCGACGAAGGCCGAGAUCCAGCCGAUCCUUGAUAGGCUGGCAAAGAAGGUAGCCGGUUGGAAGCCGAAAAUGCUGUCUAUUGAUGGGCGACUGUGCUUGAUCAAGUCGGUCCUAAUGGCGUUGCCGGUGCAUUACAUGACAGUCCUGCAGCUACCGCGAUGGGCGAUUAAGGACAUCGAGCGGAAGUGCCGCGGGUUUCUUUGGAAAAGGACAGGAAGAGAUCAGCGGCGGGCAUUGCCUAGUCUCGUGGCGAAAGGUUUGAUCACCCAUCGAGAAAGGGGGACUUGGUGUCAAAGAUCUUAAUUUGUUCGGUCAAGCUCUCCGGUUGAAAUGGCUUGCGAAAUCCUUGGAGCAGAAGGAUAGACCCUGGACCUUAGCAGCUUUCCGUCCUGGAAGCGAUGUGGAAGAGAUCUUUCGAUCCGUCGCUGAGCACAUCAUUGGUGAUGGGGUGGACACACAGUUUUGGACAGACAAUUGGACAGGGAAAGGUUGCUUCGCCUGGAGGUGGCCGGUGUUGUUUUCCCAUGUGAGCCGUGCCAAGCUGACAGUAGCUGAUGCCCUGAUUGCUAACAGAUGGAUUCGCCGAUUACAAGGUGCCCUGUCCAAUGAAGCUCUGGGUGAAUUCUUCCAACUUUGGGAUGAAGUUCGCGACGUGUCACUGCAGCAGAUGGCUGACACGAUCAAAUGGAAGUUGACUGCUGAUGGUAAUUUCUCAGUGGCCUCGGCGUAUGAUCUAUUUUUCAUAGCGACAGAGGACUGUUCCUACGGGGACACGCUGUGGCACUCCAGGGUGUCGUCGCGUGUUCGCUUCUUCAUGUGGAUUGCACUGAAGGGCCGCUGUCUCACGGCGGACAACCUGGCGAAGAGAAACUGGCCGCAUGACGCCAUUUGCUCCCUAUGCCAACGCGAGAACGAAGACUGCCAUCAUUUGCUUGUGUCCUGUGAUUAUACGGCGGCUUUGGCGCAAGCUGAGACGUUGGUGCAACAUUAACAUUGCAAUCACUGCGGAAGAUGUCAGGCCGCUUGCAGAUUGGUGGAUCGCGACAAGACGGCGUUUUCAGAACACAUACAGGACGGAUUUCGAUAGUCUGUUCAUGCUAAUUUGUUGGCUUAUCUGGAAAGAGCGAAAUACAAGGAUCUUUCAACACAUCGCCAAGUUGGUUGACCGGCUAGCGAAUGACAUCAACGAGGAAAUCGCAAUUUGGAGGGUAGCAGGGAUUUUUUCCCAGGCUAGCGAGUAAUCCCGAUUUGCCCCAUUUUUUCCUUUUCUUUCCGGGCUUGAGUUUGCUUGAGACCGGCGCGACAUCCUUCAUGUCGUUGUAAUUAAAACUUUGUUUCCCCCAAUCUUAAUGAAAUUGUUGUAAUUAAAACUUUGUUUCCCCCAAUCUUAAUGAAAUUGGCCAGCCUACUUUGGCCGUCCCGACAAAAAAUAAUCAAUCAGAAAUUCAGAGCCUAUUUCUUGUCUGUUAUAAGAAGAUGGGAUAAAAAAUGAAAUCAGAUCCUCAUCAGUCAUCUGCAUGCAUGCUCCUCGUUUUAUAACGGUGGAAGGGAGCUAAAUCAAAAUCUCCUAUCAUGAAUCUUUUUUUUCUCUCAACAAAGACCAUGUCAUGCAUGGCCAUCAUCUAAAAAAAGAUUUUUCUAUCAUGAACUUUUUCCUCUCAAGAAAGAUCAUCAUCAGAUUUGGCCACCAUCUAAAAAAAGAUUUGUUCACAGACUAUUGAGUCCAUAACAUGUUCUAUUAUCCAAAACAAAUCCAAGGAGAGGCACACAUAUGACACAUACAACAUGCAUGUCAUGAAUACAUACCAAGAUCAACAACAUGGACAAACAGAAAUCCUCUACAGAUCACAGCACACAAAAAACCCUAGCAAACGAACAAUAUCCCUUCCGAGAUCCAACGAAUUUUCAUCUAACCAACACCAAGACUAGACAGUUGAUAUACAUGGCAGAUCAAGAACAGAAAUUCAGAAGAUGGUGAUCGGAUCUUACCCUCCGCAGCCGCUGCCGCACUGGCAGCCGGAUCCGCAGCCGCAGUUUCCUCCGCAGCACGACAUCUUUCUUUCAAAGAUCAACACGGAUCGAUCGAACUGGGCAGUGGGCACUGAUCGCACAACACACGAGCACUCAGAAAAUCUGAAUAUCACCUUGGGCACCUGAACCACACACAGGAAGGGGGGCCGAGAGGCCGAGAGGGUUGCUACUUAUACAGAGGGAGGGAGGCCAUCCGCCGUACACGUGGCGCGCAUCGGGGGACCUGCCGUGACGUGGGAGUUGUGCGCCUUGGCCCAUCGUGGAUUUGGGGGUUGUGAACUGGUUUCUUCCCUUUUUAUCAAACGAUGUUAAUCGGUAUUUAAAUCAAUGAAGCCUUAUAUUGCAUGGGGACAGCUCACUUUCAAAACUAAUUUCACAUAUUGCAUCGGAUCACUUUCAAGACUAAUCGAAUAUAUGUGCAAAAUAUUUGUAUUGAGUACUGGGAAUGUCUAUUGGUCAUGCUAGCUGCUUAUAGUUUGGGCAUCCACAGCUCAAGAUAUUUACACGGAGGAGCCUACUGGACAAGGGCAUGUUCAGAGACUCGUUGGAUUUGAAAUCUGCACAAGUUCUCAGAGACUGCUCAGCCUGAAACAAUCUUGGAGAUAGCAUCACACUAUGGCUGCAAUUGAGGCAGCACUUGCACCCACCGUUCUCAGCUCCAGCAGUGGCAAAUUGAUGUUAGUCUUAACCUUGAGUAAGGCAACUUCACUUGAAGGGAUAUCUAGUUUUCGGCAGUGCUGACCAAGUUCUCAAUUUUUGCAUUUAGAUCAAGCUGAUGAAUUCAAGCUAUAAUUUCGGUAAACGGUGUUGCUUCCUGCUGUUAGGUCUGCACCAAGCUGCAUUUACCACUGGACUGCACUUUGAGUACCACUUGUUACCACAGAAAUUCAAUUGUUUCCUGUAACAUUUCAGGUACACUAGUACCACCGUUUCCUUGGCGCGCGCCACUCUUGACUCUACCACUGCAAGAAGAGCAACAAUAUGAAGGAUAUUUUGAUUGGGAGUAGUGAAAAAUCAUCACUAUAGCCAGAGUUUCAAAACAUGUACCACGGAUAACAAACCAUAGUACAAACAGAUCCCGGAAAGGAAACCAUUGAGACUAACAAAUGUAGUUUUUCUCACCUGCCUAAUUAUAGAGAGUUUCAUCUGGAAAGAUAUCCCUGCCAUCUGCACCAACUGUAACAACAUCGACUGCAAGUUGUUGGUCUUCUAGGAGGCACAUUCUGAAUUGCUUUGCAUUCUGGCAAUCAACCAUGUGGAGUCUCUUUAGUGAGAUUAGAUUCUCUGCCUGAUCCAGCGCUGGACAGUCCUGUGCAAACAAGUCCUGCAGAAUACAGAGAUUGGAAAUUCUCCUCAAACACCUGUUAUUCUUGACCUUGAGCCAUAACACUGAAGGAAGGUUGUCAAUUUCAUGCAGCGUGUGAGCACCUUCAAUGUGGAUUCUUCUUAAGUUAGCAAUCCUAUGCAAGUCUUCAGGGAGAGCCCUUAGUUUUGGGCAGCCAUUAAGAAACAGACGCUUAAGGCAAGGCAUCAGAACGAGCUGUUCAGAUCUACCACGCAAAUUCCCUGUGUUAAGAGACCAACUUUCCAAAUUGCUCAUAUCAAUGAUGUGAAGCAAUUUGAGCUUUGGGAAAAUAGUUAUAUGCGUGGCACUGCUGACGCCUUUUCCUAGGAGCUCUGAACCAAUAUUCACUACUGCAUCUGCACAUCUGAUCUGAAGAAUUAGUAGUUCUGGCAUCUGACCUGCUGGUGGAAGCUCAGAGCAUGAAAUGCACUCGUUGAGGUACAUAUGUCCCAAAUUUGGCAUCUUAUACUCUGGUUCUGAGCACAACCAAUCUGGGAACCUUACACCAGGAAACCCCUCAAAAAAUAAAUAAAUUAGGCUUGAUGAUGGACUUAGCAUCUCAUAGACUUGUUGAAUUCUCUCAAUCUCGUUCAUCUGGUAGUGGGUAAUAUCAUGAGUAUUAGCUCCCAUUGUGCAGCGAAACCACAGUUCUCGAAGACGAAGACUGUUCCUGAGUACAAAUGCACCCCCUGGCGUUGCUUUUUCUAGCUUUACAAUCCGGAGACGUUGGAUGUUGGGGAGACAUUGCAGUUCAUCUAGCCUGAAUCCAGAUGCACUCUCGAAAACUCCUUUAAGGUUGUAGAGUUUCUGAAACUUCGCGAUCCCUUUUGGAACAUGGUCGAUUCCAGUUUGUUCUAGCUCAAGGAAACUUAUGUUGGACAGUCUCAUCAAACUAGCUGGCAGGCUAUCCAAAUGUCUGCAACAGUGCAAAGAAAGGUAUUCAAGGCUGGUAAGAUUUCCUAUGGAUUCAGGGAGUUUUUUGAUUUUUGUAUAGCUUAGAUCUAGCAACCUCAGUAGCAACAAGUUUCCCACCGACUCUGGUAUGACUUGGAUGCUUGUUCCACUGAGAACUAAGACACGAAUAUGCUUGAGCUCUCUGAAAAUGUCCUUAUUAAUUGUCUUAAAGUUCUUGUUAUUAAAAAUUAGGAGGCUCCUCAAGCACUUCAGCUCUUCUAUAGCAGGUAUUUCUUUUACAUCAUUGCUUAUUACUAAGUGACGUAGAUUCAGUAAGGUUUUGCUAUUUUCCAUAUUCAUGAAUAAGGAAUGAUCCUUUGUCAAAAAUUGUCCAAGUGACCUCAAAAGAUCAUGCAUCGUUGACAUCCAUUUGUCAACAAACUCUGGUUUUGGCUGCAGAAGAUUCAUUCUAAUUAGCUCAUGGUAGUAUUCUUCUGCGGCUUCAUGUAUUGAGUACCCAUGCAUUUUCGUCACAAAGCCUUCAGCGACCCACCAGUAAGCGACAGCAUCACGAUGGAUCCCAAAAUUUGAUGGUAACAAAGCACACCAGAGAAAGAAUUGCUUAAGUUCAGGAGGUAAGUUGCUGUAGCUUAAGUACAGAGGACCUCCUAGUUCUUUGGGAAGUCCAUGAAUAGACCAUUUGCUAUCUCGGAUGCUCUCCCAUUCUGCCUUUGUUUUCUUACUAGAUAGGACACCUGCAACAACUUUGAUGGCAAGAGGAAGGCCAUCACACUUUUUGACAAUUUGAUACCCAACACCACUGAAUUCUCUUCUUUGCUCGUAUGGCCCUAAUGACAUCUUCAUCAGCAGUUCUAGGCCAUCGUAAUCAUUCAUUUUGUUUACCCUGUGGGUAUAAGUUGCAUGCAUUUCGACCAAAACAUCCAGGUUUCUUGAGGUCACAAGGAUACGAGAAUUCAAGCCUCUCUCGGAAGGCGAUCGAAGAAGAUCAAUCCAUACAUCAGAUUUCCAAACAUCAUCCAGCACAAGAAAAACACUCUUCCCUCUAAUAGUGUCCACUAGAAGCGGUAGAAGCUCAGUCUUAGUCUCCAGCUGAUCACAAAUUCCUCCAGCCAUUCUUAUUGCCUGUUUUAACAAACUGGUCUCUGUGUAAUUCUGAGAAAUACACAACCAUAUAUGAACUUGGAAUUUCUCCCUUAUCCUCUGUUCAUUGUAUAUCUUUUGAGCUAAUGUUGUCUUACCGAUGCCUCCCAUCCCCUGGAUCCCAAAAACAGUUGACCUGUUGUCAUUGUAGUUACUAACAAUCAUUUUGACCAUGUCAUCAACAGCCCUUCUGAUAUCUUCUCCAACAACCUCAAGUUCAUCUACAGGAGAUGUCUGACUUCUGUCAACAAUUGUUAUCUGGACUUGUUGCCGGUUGGUUCUCUCGAAGCCAAACAUCUCUUUGUUCAUUUUAAUUUCUUCAAACUUUUCAUUUAUAUUAUCGAUUCUUUUGGCAAUCCUGUGAUCAAAUGAAAACUUUGCAAAGCUAGAGAACAAGGGCUGAUUGCAACAUACCGGCCUUGGUGGCAGCAAAAACUUCUGUGAAUGAACCAUGAAAAGAUCCACGAUGUCAUCGACAUCAAACAUAACAUUUCUCAUGUUCUUCCACCAUGAAUCUAUCCCUGGAUCCUCCAUGGCCAGAGCCUCAGCAUCCUCACGAACAGCGUUGAAGAAUUCCAGAUUUUUCUUCAGGCUCUCAAUACCCCUUUUCACACUUAAUGUCAUGAUAACCUCAUCCUCAAUAAGCUGACCCAGCUUUUCCAAGAAUUUCCAAGCGAGAGCAUCCAAAACUGUGCCCAUAGUGCUAGAACCGGGAUUCCCGCUGGAUCUCUCCAAUGGGAGAUGCUUGAAACUGCAGAUCCCAGAACAGAUAUCUCACAGAGCUGCAGAUCACUUAAAUACGGAAGAUGGAAAGAGAUAUUGAAGCAGUGUGGCUAAAGCCUGAUGAGAACGGAGAGGGCAAUGCAGAUUGCAGAGGAGAGCUGUUAUAGAUUCUCCUCCCUUUCUUGCCACCAACUGCCUUUGUCCCAACAGACAUUGACAUUCUCUAUUGCAAAACGUCUGAAAAACCUGAAAAAAAAAUUAAAAUAGUAUGAAAGUACUUUUUGAGGCAGAAUCUGCCCAUAAAGAUUUUUGUAUUCAAAUCUAAAUGUUUCAACGAUGAUGCAAUGUGAAAAAGGGCAAGUAGUGUUACAAAAUUGCAAGGCGAUUCAAGUUGAAAGCUCUUCCAGGCUGUGUAUUCUUUUCCUUUCAUCCCCUUGACAAUAAUAAUUUGAUUUUAUUGCAGCAAAGGAGCCACUUGGUGCUUUACUUUCUUUUCCUGUUUACCACCUAAGAAGCCUGGAAGCACUGGAGCAGAGUUCUCUUUUUUUCAGGAAUAUGCAACAAAAAAAAUAUAUUUAUAUUGGCAUUAAGGUUGGGUAAAACAAGGUUCAGAGAAAAUGAUACAUUAGAUCACCAGAGUGCAGACAGCAGACCGAAGGAAAAAAUAGAGUCAAACAGGUGCUGGCCGGUGCUGGGCAUGCAACCGCACGCAGGAAUCUACUGGGCAUUUCGUCAAACAGCUCAUCUGCGCCCCAACCAUUUGUUGCAAAGUCCAAGUUUCAGAGCUUAGAGAAAACAUCGAAAGGAACUCAUCCCAUUCGCAUCAGUCGCGUUGCACAUAAUCAAGUCAGAAAAGAAAAAAAAUAUGAUGGUUGAUUACCUACGCAAGAAAGAGAGAUGCUUCUCCUAGCGAAACCAAAGACGGCGACAACGACCCACAAGCAAAGAUAAGCAGGGCCUAGGUCGAACUGAGCCUGGAUCAGGAUCACAUCGCAUAACUCCAGUAUAAACAAAGAGCAAAUUCUCUGAUUCAUCUCGCACGUAACGUAACGUAACGAAUGGGGCGCUCGGGGAGAGCGAUGCGCGAAUGGCGUUCGAUGAAAUGCCCCUCCAAGUUCAACAGGCGCGUCCAGGCCAAUCGAUUUUGUUUUACUUUCUGAAUUGGGCCCUGUCGCGAAGACUGCGACCUGAAUUGGGCCGUAAGCCCGUAACCUAAGCUCUACGCCGAAGGAAAGCCCAAACUCUAAAAACUCCUCCACCACCGCGCGGCGGGAAACCCGCUCCUCCCCACUCCGUUCCCGCGCACAUUUUUUCGGCAUCCCACCCGUCGAUUUUUUCCGGCAUCCAACGUCGUACAUCCCUCCACGUCAUCGAUCCGCGCCGCGUGCCUUCCACCAAUCAGGGCGCACGUCCCCUCCUCUACAAAACCAUCUUCCCCCGUCUCCUUUCCCCACGCCGCAAUCUCGCGAAUCCCACCGCUUCCCUUUCCUCUCCUCUCCUCUCCCCGGGAAGAAGACAGCAGCGGCAUCCAUGGCGCCCAAGGCAGAGAAGAAGCCGGCCGCGAAGAAGCCCGCGGAGGAGGAGCCCGCGGCGGAGAAGGCCGAGAAGGCCCCCGCGGGGAAGAAGCCCAAGGCGGAGAAGCGUCUCCCCGCCGGCAAGGCCGAGAAGGGCAGCGGCGAGGGGAGGAAGGCGGGGCGGAAGAAGGCGAAGAAGAGCGUCGAGACCUACAAGAUCUACAUCUUCAAGGUGCUCAAGCAGGUCCACCCCGAUAUCGGCAUCUCCUCCAAGGCCAUGUCCAUCAUGAACUCCUUCAUCAACGACAUCUUCGAGAAGCUCGCCGGGGAGUCCGCCAAGCUCGCCCGCUACAACAAGAAGCCCACCAUCACCUCCCGCGAGAUCCAGACCUCCGUCCGCCUCGUCCUCCCCGGCGAGCUCGCCAAGCACGCCGUCUCCGAGGGCACCAAGGCCGUCACCAAAUUCACCUCCGCUUAGGCUUCACCCCUGCAUCUAUCUAUGUGUUAGUUUUAGUGCUAUCGAUGAUUGGAAAAUGGAUGUUAGAUCGUUAGUUUGGUAGUCAGAUGUCAGUGAUCUGGAACAGUAGCUCUGAUUUUAAACCAUGUGAAUGUGAUUCCUGGGUAUGUGAUGUUUGACCGCCUUGUGUCUGCUGGUCAACGAGUGAUAACUAGAUCUAAUUUUUGUGGAACUAUUUACAUGGUUGCUACUUGCAUUCUGUUCAACUGUUGUAAAUUCCUCUGUCACUCGUUGGAGUUUUAUUCUCUGGAGCAUGUGUGGAAUUGCCUGGGCAUGCUUUUGGGAAACUAUAGUCUGUAGUCCUAUGUUAUGUUUGGUUAAUUGGUUGCCCUGAGCUUGUUGGAAUUAAUCUAUGUAUAAUUUUGUGCAAUUACAUCCUGUGAGUAUGUUGCUAUUUGCAUUGUCUUGCAAACUCCUUUGUAUGCCACAGGAAUUUAAUUUCUGGAGCAUGGAUGUUUGGAGUUUGAUACUGUUCAAGUGCUUAUUGGCCCAUGUAGUUUAUAAGUACGAGUAGGUUUCAUCUAAGGACACUUUCUAAAAGAAGAGUUGUGAAUUGGUUAGUAUAUAGUAUGACAACUUGGCCAUCACCGUUCUAUUUUAGCUGAUAACUUUGACAUCUGAAGUAAGUUUUGCUUUACCUUAGUACUGUACUGUUUCAACUUUCAAAGAAGUUUAAUUGGAAAUAGUAACUGAAACACCGGAACCGUAAGUAUUUUGCUUGCUAUUGCAGGAUGCUGCUACACUAGCCUGUUUCCUCAUUUAUGUUCCGAAGGUCUAAUGAAGGUUCUCUCUUUGUUCUUGAUUAGCUUGUAAGCUAACUGGCAAGCAUGAGGUAUGCACUAAACUGCUGCAUCUUCUAUCAAAGCUUGCUGUUGGAGUUGUUGCUCUGCAGGAUAUGCCAUGUGUGAAGAUGAUGACCAAACUCUUGUGGACUCUAGAAUCUUAUAAUGUUAUCCUUUGGUUCUUUGUCCAAACUCUUGUGGACUCUAGAAUUUUUAUUGGUAUUGUUUAAUUUUGCAUUACAGUAGUAGCCAGAUAAUAUGGUGUUUCAUUAUUAAAAUUUAUUAAAGGAAACAAUUUUAACCAACUUACUAAACUAUCACAUGUUCAAUUUGUGAGUAUCUCAUGCAAAAGUAAUUUAUUGACCUCACAGUGCUUACACUCUAAACAAAGUUACUAAACUUUUACUUUUGGUAAUAUAAGUACUAUUAGAUUUAUUGUUGUAAUAAAAUUACUUGCUCAUAUUGCUAUUGCUUAAGUGCUACUUCGCAGUUUGUAUAGGAAAGCUAAAAGGAUAGCAGAAGAACUUGAGAAUGUCCAUUAACUACCUGAAACACAUUAUCUAUGUUGUAUGUGUAAAAUAUCUAUAUAUUUAUAAAAAAUCAUUUUAGGAACAAUUUCUACAAAUAUGAUAAUAUAAAAUUCAACUUAUAUUUUAAAAAAUAUGCAUUCUAGAUUUUCUCUAUUUUAAACUUAUGCUUCUUUCUACAAUGCAAGUGAUCUAGGAAUUACUACUACAACAUAGUGUAUCUUCUAGUUUUUACAACAAUAUGUUGACACGCCAAUCCACUACGCCAUUGUUAUUGAAUGAGAACUUCUUAUGUUGAAAGACAUGAUUCACUCUUUGUGGAAAAGUAAAAAACUAUGUAUCAAUAUUGAAAAUUUCUUGGGAUCCCCCAGUACAUGCCCCUUGGGCCUAUUUAUAGGCUUAGUGCAGGCUCAUGUGCCCUAGGGUUACUAAGUACAUGGGAAUUUACAUGAUUACCCUUACAAUAGGGACAUUUAUGAGGAUAAUUAUAGACAAUUUAUCCUUGGGCCUCUUCUUGGGCCGCCAAGUGGGCCUCCAUUGGUUGGUUGGCCCCCUCGGGCCUUGAAUCCCUCGGCUUGGGGGCGAAGGUCUUCGGCUUCGCUCGACGAUUUGCCCAGAGCCUCUGUCUUUGUGACAUUUGGCGUUUUGCUGUCGUGCUUCGUCCUAGCGAUUGUAGACUUGUUUCGGCAGGCUCGGUUGAAGGCCCUCGUGACAUGCCUCCAACAGCCAUGCUACGCACCAUAUCAAUUUUUAAGUACAGGAACAAUCAUUCAUUCAUAUGAUGCAUAAGAAAUUAACAGUUAUGUGACUUUGAAGACCAUCAAGAGCUUGAUCGGGAUCUGAGCCAAUAAAAGCAUUGUGGACAUCUAAAAGCUUGAGGCAAAAAUUUUGGCCAACCUAAAAGCAGUUCAUAUGUUUGAUCAAGUUUAGGAAUGUACCUUGAGUGCUUUAUGUUUAGCGAUGCAUUGAUAAAAUAAUAAAGAUCAGGCAUAGGGGUGUAAGUGGGUGUUAACGAAAAAUCCGCGCUUUGCUAAUGGUGCCAGAAUUGUAUUGGCGCGAACUAAGUCGACGAACAUAACGGCCCUAGGAGAUCUGUUUAGCUCUAGUGCAGGUCCAAAGCUUGUAGAGAUGCGGGCAUGCCAGUCAGUUUGAUCCUGCAACUAACUAGAUAUAUAAAUAUGUUGAUCACCAAAGAGCUGAUCGGCUGACGAGUCGAUCGAGCGAUACUAGCCGAUGCCGAUAGCAACCGAUGUCGAUAGAGUUUUGAGCAAUCGACUAUAUGUCCAAUGUAGAGUCUGAUACUUGAGUAAAUAAUGAUAUAAAGAUAAUUGGCUGAUGAUAAUGUAAUAAAACAACAAUAUAAUCCAAUAAAAACCAAUCGGCUAACAAUGAUAUGAUAGAAUAAGUGACCCGAUGGUUAAAGCAUACAUCGGCUAGUGGUAUGAUGUCAUUAAUUAAAUCCAAAUGAUUAGAUAAACAGUGAAAUCUUUGUUACAAUCUGCUAAAAACAACUUGUAUGCAAUCUUUGUAAGCCGAUACAACGUCUAGAUAACUCAUUGGCUGAAUCCUCGAUGAAACCCUUAUUAUAAUCAAAGACAGGUUAGCGUUUAGGAUUCUAAGCACGACUAGGGAUGAUGCAUCGCAAAGUAUGCAAAGAAACAUAAAGUCUAAACAAUCAAGCCUUUGACUAAUUUUCAGGGUGGUGGAUAUCUUAGUUAAUCUAAUCUAGCAAGAUACUUUAGCCGAUACCAGUAUAAAACCUAAAACGAAUCUCAGCCGAUAUGAUCAAAUUAAGAUGCUAAAUUAGAUUAACUAAGAUAUAUGAUAAAUAGGUAGGCAAACAUAUCAACCGAACCAGAGCAAUCCAAGAGGUCAAAGCUAUGCAGCCUUGAACCACGCCAAUGUAGCCAAUACAAUUGCCAGAGCUAGCAGAACGUAGUACUUACCCCGUCGGAUGAUAAGUAAAAACCUUGGUAAAGAGGGUGGCGAUGCGCCGAAAGUAAUUGUAUUGAUCGAGAGAUAGUUUACAAUGUCUCUGGGUGUACAUAUUUAUACCCAUGGGUAGAUACUAGUCCUUGUUGGACAAGAAAAAAACAUUCCUAAAGAUAAAAGGAAAACAUAAUGUCCUUAUCGGACACUAAACACAUUUUUCUAAAGAUAAAAGGAAACUAACAGACUCUUUCUAAUUAAUAGAUAACUUGCCAUGAUGCAUCAUCCUUAAACUCGGUCUUUUCUGGAUAAGCUUAAUUGAAUAUAUUAAUUUUCUUAAUCGAAUAUAGCAAGAUUCCGACUAUUGGCGACUUGAUAGUUUCCAUCGGCCGAUUAUAGGACUCUGAAACCGAUACUGACUCUAGGCCGAUGAUGACUUCGGGGCUUGCCAAAUUUCACUGUUUACAGUGGGUCAACCGUGAACCCACUUAUAGGUCAAAAUAAGCAGGUUCGUGGCUUAUUUUAGCCUAUAAGUGGGUUUUGUGGGCUAGCCACUUACACCCCUAAUCAGGCAUGGACGAGAAGUUUAUAUCUCAUUAAGAACCACAUUUUCACUGUCACCUGCAGGGAUACUAUUGAUCUGGGUAACAGAAAAAAAAUCGCAGGACAAGAUUAUACAAGAAAUAUCAAAUAUAUUGAAAAUAACCGACAACUUCUUAAUAAAUAAGCUGAUUGGACACCUUGAAAAUCCUGAAGUACACAGAAUCCCCAUUCUCUGUGAACACGUAUAGAUCUGAAGUUGUUGACUCAUGUUCUUGUAGUGGAGAAAACAUCUGUUUAAUAAUGUCACAUAUGGCAUUUAUAUCCGCGCUGAAGGCUGAACCAAACAAAAAUAAGCAUUAAACACAAUAAGUUCUUACCAUCAUUAGCAUAUCCUUCACAAGAGCCCAAGUUUCAUCACCAACAAAAUUGGAUGAAAAUCAAAGUAAAGGAUUUGUUACUUUCAACUCUAUACUUUCAUCUAGGAAUGCUGCAAAAAAAAAUUAUUAUAUAAAUAUCUUCAAGUAAAAAAUCAUCAUAAUUAUCAAUAUCAUAAUUAAUAUUACCAAUUGGAUAAUAUAAGUGUAUUUGGGUUUUAUGAAACGUUUUGCAACAAUAUCGGGUGUUCUUUGAAACAAAUUACAAAACCUGGGAUUUUGAGUGAGGAAUGCUCCAAACUUAGGGUUUUGAAAAUUUUACUCUUAUUUAUUUUUUCUGUAAUUACUAUUAUUUAAAAUUGGCAAAAAAAAAUUACCUGGAUUUAUAAGAAAUGAUAUGUGAAUUUCUUUCAAUGUAUUGAACAUAUGGCAAAUCAUCUUCUGAUCACCUUCUGCCUACUGCCAUAAGAAAAAAAAGAUUACCUUAGAUGAAUGAAAAUAAUAUUACGCGUGUACACAAAAUAUACACAUUAUUCAUUAUACUUCAAAGAAGAGAAAAAAGGUUGCAUCUGCUCCAUUUUUAGAAAGACGUUGACAAAUGUAUGCCUUUCCUUGACCAUCAUAAGGUAGAAGAAAUGAAAUGUCAUUCUAGAUAUCAACUGAAAUUGCAUUUUCUCUAUUUUAAUCGGGUUCGCCCUGGGCGUGUAGUCAUUCCCAGGGCAUGUGCAGCUGAAGCUGUUGUUGUAGCUGUAAAUCUUGUAAAGUUUGAACUUUCUCCCCUACUUAAAUAAACUUCGACCGGCUUUCGCACUGGUCCAGCGAAAAAAAAUGUAAUUGCAUUUUCAUACAUAUAUAUUUGUGUGUAUGUGUUCUGAAAGAACCUUCAAAUGAGGUUAAGCGUAUAAGCGACAACUACAUUCAAUCCACUAGGCCUUAAUUAUAUCUACUUCGGUUGAUUAUACCGAUACGAAGAGUUUGGUUUCCCUCAAUCCUAAUAACAUUAGAUUUGCCUCCUUGGUUCAUACCAGCAAAAGAAAGCAGAUAAUCGAAUUUUGAUCCAAUUUUUGCAUAUGAAUUUAAUCCACUCUAACAUCCUCUCAAAAAGUGAACUCUAAUAUAAUUACCCCCUUCUCUUCCUUUACUUUUUUCCCCCUUGACUCCUAUUGUUGUAUUUGAAUCCUAUCUUUCUAUAAAGUUAAAGCCCACUACAUCUUAAAGCUCAACAUGCAAAGAUGCUAUAUCAUCACUAACAUUUACUACAUCUCAAAUCUCAUGUAGGCAUGCUAAUUUAUUAAGUUUUAGAGCUUUAAAAUGCAAGCAUGUUAAUUAAAUUAUUAUCCCACAUAAUCCACAUAAUAUUUCAAUAUACCUCUCCUUCACUUUUUAUAAUAUCCUAUAUGCUUAUAUAGUUAAUUAAAAUUUUAGAGCUUAAAAAAAUCCAAGCAUGUUAAAUCAUCAUUUCACAUAAUUCUCAAAAUAUUUCAAUAUAUCUCUCCAUCAUUUUGUAUAAUAUCUAUAUACCAAUACAAUUCAUUCUCACAUAGUUAAUGUUAUUUCUUUCUUCUUUCAUUAAGCUAUAUCACCUCAAUUGUUUCUAACGCUCAAAUGAUUAAUUUAUGGUUGGAAUUAUCUUCCUCAUUUUUUUCUUUCAUAAAGCCACAUCAUAUUACUUUUAAAUUUGGGUCAUCAUUCUGUAUACUAUUUAAAUUAUUAUAAACCACAUCAACUUAUGCAAGUUUCUAUCAUCUAGCUAUCUUACACAUUAUUUAUAUUUCUUAUUAUCAUACCAAACUCCCGCAGCAACGCGCGGGGUUUCAUCUAGUUAUAUUAUAUUUUACUGCCAUACCUGUGCCUUCUCUUUCUUACUGCACUGAAUAUAUGAAAUUGAAAUUGAGGCCACAGGAAGUUUGUAUGGCUGAAUAUGAGGCACUUCCAAGGGUUCAUCACCCUUGUCUCAAGAGUUCAAUUUAAGUACAAGCAAAACCCACUAUUUAAGCCACUAAAAGAAAAAAACAGAAUUUAAAUGGCACAAUCGGGGUAAGAGGAUUAUUGGUUAUGUCACCCCACAUAACUGAAACAGAUGUACUUCGAUCGUUGUUUAUCACACCCAGUUCUUGCAUAUUCCAAGUUUAACAUGUUGAUCGAUCUGAAGUCCUGAAAAGUAUUUGUAUUGAGUACUGGGAACGUCUAUUGGUCAUGCUGUUCAAGAUAUUUACAUGGAGGAGCCCAACGGACAAGAACAUGUUCAAAAACUCGUUGGAUUUGAAAUCUGCACAAGCUCUCAGAGGCUGCUCAGCCUGAAUCAGUCUUGGAGAUAGCAUCACACUAUGCUGCAAUCGAGGCAGCAUUUACACCCACCGUUCUUACCUCCAGCAGUGGCAAAUUGAUGUUAGUCUUAACCUUGAGUCAGGCAACUUCACCUGAAGGGAUAUCUAGUUUUCGACAGUGCUGACCAAGUUUCCAAAUUUUUGCAUUUAUAUUAAGCUGAUGAAUUCAAGCUAUAAUCUCGGUAAACGAUGUUGCUUCCUUCUGUUAGGACUGCACCAAGCUGCAUUUACCACUGGACUGCAUUUUGAAUACCAUUGGCUACCACUUACCACAGAAAUUGAAUUGUUUUCCUGUAACAUUUCAGGUGCACUAGUAUCACCAUUUCCUUAAGUGCGCUCCACUCUAGUACUGCAAGAAGAGUGACAAAAUGAUUAAAUGAAGGAUAUUUUGAUUGUAAAUAGUUUAAAUUAUGAUGUCUCGGUGCAAUAGCCAGAAUUACAAAAACAAAAGAUAAACCAAACCAUAGUACAAACAGAAUCAAAGGAAAAGAUCGAGACUAACAAAUAAAUGUAGUAGAACUUCCUCUAAUAAUUUGUAGAGUAAAUUGCUCACCUGCCUAAUUAUAGAGAGAUUCAUCUGGAAAGAUAUCCCUGCCAUCUGCACCAACUGUAACAACAUGGACGGCAAGUUGUUGGUCUUCCAGGAGGCUCAUCCUGAAUUGCUUCGCGUUGUGGCAAUCGACCAUGUAGAGUCUCUUUAGUGAGAUUAGAUUCUCUGCCUGAUACAGCGCUGGACAGUCCUGCGCAAGCAAGUCCUUUAGAUUACAGAGAUUGGAAAUUCUCCUCAAACACCUGUUGUUCUUGACCUUGAGCCAUAACACUGAAGGAAGGUUGUCAACUUCUUGCAGCGUGUGAGCACCUUCGAUAUGGAUUCUUCUUAAGUUAGCAAUCCUAUGCAAGUCUUCAGGGAGAGCCCUUAGUUUUGGGCAGUCGUUAAGAAACAAACGCUUAAGGCAAGGCAUCAGAACAAGCUGUUCAGAUUUGCCACACAAAUUCCAUGUGUUGAGAGACCAACUUUCCAAAUUGCUCAUGUUAGUGAUGAGAAGCAAUUCGAGUUUUGGAAAAAUAGUUAUAUGCUUUGCGCUAUUGACGCCUUUCCCUAGCAGCUCUGCACCCAUAUUCACUAUUGCAUCUGCGCCUUUAAUCUUAAAAACUAGCAGUUCUGGCAUCUGGCCUGCUGGUGGAAGCACUGAACAUGAAGUGCAGUCGUUGAGGUGCAUAUGACCCAAAUUUGGCAUCUUACGCUCUGGUUCUGAGCACAACCAAUCUGGGAACCUUACACCAGGGAACCCGACAAGAAAUAUAUACAGUAAGCUUGGCGAUGGAAUUAGCAGUUCGUAGACUUGCUGAAUUCUCUCAAUCUCGUUGGUCUGAUAAUAAGUUUUAUCAUGACCUCCGAUUGUGCAACCGAGCCACAAUUCUCGAAGAUGAAGACAGUUCUUGAGUACAAAUGAACCCCCUGGUGCUGCUUUUUCUAGCUUCACAAUCCGGAGACGUUGGAUAUUGGAGAGACAUUGGAGUUCAUCUAGUCUGAAUCCAGUUCCACUGUCAAAAACUCCUCUAAGGUUGUAGAGUUGCUGCAACUUUGCAACUCCUUUUGGAACAUGGUCGAUUGCAGUCUGUUCUAGCUCUAGGAAACUUAUGUUCGACAGUCUCAUUAAACUAUCUGGCAGGCUAUCCAAAUGUAUGCAACCAUGCAAAGAAAGGUAUUCAAGGCUGGUAAGUUUUCCUAUGGAUUCUGGGAGUUUCUGAAUUUUUGUAUAGCUUAGAUCUAGAAGCCUCAGUAACAAGAAGUUUCCCACUGACUCUGGUAUGAUUUGGAUGCUUGUUCCACUGAGAACUAAGACACGGAUAUGCUUGAGUUCUCUGAAAAUGUCCUUAUUAAUUUUCAUGAAGUUUUUGUUAUCAAAAACUAGGAGGCUCCUCAAGCACUUUUGCUUUUCUAUAGCAGGUAUUUCUUCUACAUCAUUGCUGAUACAUAAGUGGCGUAGAUUUGGUAAGGCUUUGCUAUAUUCCAUGUUCAUGAAUAUGGAGUGAUCCUUUGUCAAAAAUUGACCAAGUGACCUCAAUAGAUCAUGCAUUGUUGACUCGCCUUUGUCUACAAACUCUGGUCGUGGCUGCAGAAGAUUCCUUCUGAUUAGCUCAUGGUAGUACUCUUCAGCAACCUCAUGUAUUGAGUACCCAUGCACUUCCGUCACGAAACCUUCAGCAACCCACCAGUAAGCGACAGCAUCACGACGUAUCACAAAAUUUGACGGCAACAAAGCACACCAGAGAAAGCAUUGUUUAAGUUCAGGGGGUAAGUUGCUGUAGCUUAAGUACAGAGGGCCUCCUAGUUCUCUGGGAAGUCCAUGAAUGGACCACUUGCUAUCUCGGAUACUCUCCCAUUCUGCCCUUGUUCUUUUAGUAGAUAGAACACCUGCAACAACUUUGAUGGCAAGAGGAAGGCCAUCACACUUUUUGACAAUUUGAUAUCCAACACCACUGAAUUCUCUGCUUUGCUCGUAUGGCCCUAAUGACAUCUUCAUCAGCAGUUCUAGGCCAUCGCAAUCAUUCAUUUUGUUUACCUUGUGGGUAUAAGUUGCAUGCAUUUCAACCAAAACAUCCAGGUUUCUUGAGGUCACAAGGAUAUGAGAAUUCAAACCUCUCAAGAAAGGCAAACGAAGAAGAUCAAUCCAUACAUCAGAUUUCCAAACAUCAUCCAGCACAAGAAAAACACUCUUCCCUCUAAUAGUGUCCACUAGAAGCGGUAGAAGCUCAGUCUUAGUCUCCAGCUGAUCACAAAUUCCUCCAGCCAUUCUGAUUGCCUGUUUUAACAAACUGGUCUCUGUGUAAUUCUGAGAAAUGCACAACCAUAUAUGAACUUGGAAUUUCUCCCUUAUCCUCUGUUCAUUGUAUAUCUUUUGAGCUAAUGUUGUCUUACCGAUGCCUCCCAUCCCCUGGAUCCCAAAAACAGUUGACCUGCUUUCAUUGUAGUUACUACUAACAAUCAUUUUGACGAUGUCAUCAAUAGCCCUUCUGAUAUCUUCUCCAACCACCUCAAGUUCAUCUACAGGAGAUGUCUGACUUCUGUCAACAAUUGUUAUCUGGAUUUGUUGCCCGUUGGUUCUCUCCAAGCCAAACAUCUCUUUGUUCAUUUUAAUUUCUUCAAACUUUUCAUUUAUAUUAUCAAUUCUUUUGGCAAUCAUGUGAUCAAAUGAAAACUUUGCAAAGCUAGAGAACAAGGGCUGAUUGCAACAUACCGGCCUUGGUGGCAGCAAGAGCUUCUGUGAAUGAACCAUGAAAAGAUCUACGAUGUCAUCGACAUCAAACAUAACAUCUCUCAUGUUCUUCCACCAUGAAUCUAUCCCUGGAUCCUCCAUGGCCAGAGCCUCAGCAUCCUCAUGAACAGCGUUGAAGAAUUCCAGAUUUUUCUUCAGGCUCUCAAUACCCCUUUUCACACUUAAUGUCAUGAUAACCUCAUCCUCAAUAAGUUGACCCAGCUUUUCCAAGAAUUUCCAAGCGAGAGCAUCCAAAACUGUGCCCAUAGUGCUAGAACCUACGGAUUCCCACUGGAUCUCUCCUAUGGGAGAUGCUUGAAACUGCAGAUCCCAGAAGAGAUAUCUCACAGAGCUGCUGAGUGCCGAUCACUUAAAUACGGAAGAUGGAAAGAGAUAUUGAAGCAGUGUGGCUAAAACCUGAUGAGAACAGAGAGGGCAAUGCAGAUUGCAGAAGAGAGCUGUUAUAGAUUCUCCUCCCUUUCUUGCCACCAACUGCCUUUGUCACAAUGGACAUUGACAUUCUCUAUUGCAAAACGUCUGAAAAACCUGACAAAAUUAAAACAGUAUGAAAGCACUUUUUGAGGCAAAAUCUACCCACAAUGAUUUUUGUAUUAAAAUCCAAAUGUUUCAACGAUGAUGCAAUGUGAAAAGGACAAGUAGUGUUACACAAUUGCAAGGGGAUUCAAGUUGAAAGCUCUUCCAGGCUGUGUAUUCUUUUCCUUUCAUCCACUUGCUAAUAAUAAUUUGAUUUCAUUGCAGCAAUGGCGCCACUUGGUGCUUUACUUUCUUUGCCUGUUUACCACCUAAGAAACCAGGAAGGCCAUGGUGCUUCUCUACCUGCACUAGCAAGAAGACCCAAAGAAGUGUACUUUUUAAGCGAAUUUAGCUGACUGUUACCAGCAGAUUUUGCAUCAACCAAUACAGGAAUCCUAUGCCAAAGCCUUUAUAAGUCUAGUUAAAAGCACCGGAGCAGAGUUCUCCUUUUUUCAGGAAUAUGCAGAAAAUCUUUUGCAGAGUUCAGAGAAAACAAGGUUCUCUGAAACAAGGUUAAGAGAAAACAGGAAUAUGCAGAGUUCUCUUUAUGCAUCUUUGCAUUAAGAUUGGGUAAAACAAGGUUAAGAGAAAAUGGUACAUUAGAUCACCAGAGAGCAGACACCAUACUAAAGGAAAAAUAGAGUCAAACCGCCGCUGGGCAUGCAACGCACGCAGGAAUCUCCUGGGCAUUUCGUCAAACAGCUCAUCUGCACCCGAACCAUUUGUUGCAAAAGUCCAAGUUUCAGAGCUUAUAUAGAAAAAACAUCGAAAGGAACACAUCCCAUUCGCAUCACUCGGUGUUGCACAUAAUCAAGACACAAAAGAAAAAUUAAGAUAGUUGAUUACCUACGCAAGAAAGAGAGAUGCUUCUCCUAGCGUAACCAAAGACGGCGACAACGACCCACAAGCAAAGAUAAGCAGGGGCUAGGUCGAACUGAGCCUGGAUCAGGAUCACAUCGUAUAACUCCAGUAUAAACAAAAGCAAAUUCUCCGGUUGUGUUUGUACCUGACAAGUUGAUUCAUCUCGCACGUAACGUAACGUAACGAAUGCGGUUCGCUCGGGGAGAGCGAUGCGCGAAUGGUGUUCGAUGAAAUGCCCCCCACCGCACCCCCCCCCCCCCCCCCCAAGUCCAACAGGCUCGUCCAGGCCAAUCGAUUUUGUUUUCCUUUCUGAAUUGGGCCCUGUCGCGAAGCCUGCCACCUGAAUUGGGCCGUAAGCCCGUAACCUAAGCUCUACGCCGAAGGAAAGCCCAAACUCUAAAAACUCCUCCACCACCGCGCGGCGGGAAACCCGCUCCUCCCCCCUCCUCCGUUCCCGCGCACAUUUUUUCGGCAUCCCACCCGCCGAUUUUUUUCCGGCAUCCAACGUCGCACAUCCAUCCACGUCAUCGAUCCGCGCCGCGUGCCUUCCACCAAUCAGGGCGCACGUCCCCUCCUCUACAAAACCAUCUCCCCACGUCUCCUCCUUUCCCCACGCCGCAAUCUCGCGAAUCCCACCGCUUCCGUUUCCUCUCCUCUCCCCGAGAAGAAGAGAGCAGCGGCAGCCAUGGCGCCCAAGGCGGAGAAGAAGCCGGCCGCGAAGAAGCCCGCGGAGGAGGAGCCCGCAGCGGAGAAGGCCGAGAAGGCCCCCGCGGGGAAGAAGCCCAAGGCGGAGAAGCGUCUCCCCGCCGGCAAGGCCGAGAAGGGCAGCGGCGAGGGGAAGAAGGCGGGGAGGAAGAAGGCGAAGAAGAGCGUCGAGACCUACAAGAUCUACAUCUUCAAGGUGCUCAAGCAGGUUCACCCCGACAUCGGCAUCUCCUCCAAGGCCAUGUCCAUCAUGAACUCCUUCAUCAAUGACAUCUUCGAGAAGCUCGCCGGAGAGUCCGCCAAGCUCGCCCGCUACAACAAGAAGCCCACCAUCACCUCCCGGGAGAUCCAGACCUCCGUCCGCCUCGUCCUCCCCGGCGAGCUCGCCAAGCACGCCGUCUCUGAGGGCACCAAGGCCGUCACUAAAUUCACCUCCGCUUAGGCUUCACCCCUGCAUCUAUCUAUUGCUAUUGCUAAUAGUUGUAGUUUGAUCUGUUUGUGUUAGUUUUAGUGCUAUCGAUGAUUGGAAAAUGGAUGUUAGAUCGUUAGCUUGGUAGUCAGAUGUCAGUGAUCUGGAACAGUAGCUCUGAUUUUAAACCAUGUGAAUGUGAUUCCUGGGUAUGUGAUGUUUGACCGCCCUGUGCCUGCUGGUCAACGAAUGAUAACUAGAUCUAAUUUUUGUGGAACUAUUUACAUGGUUGCUACUUGCAUUCUGUUCAACUGUUGUAAAUUCCUCUGUCACUCGUUGGAGUUUUAUUCUCUGAAGCAUGUGUGGAAUUGCCUGGGCAUGCUUUUGGGAAACUAUAGUCUGUAGUCUUAUGUUAUGUUUGGUUGCCCUGAGCUUGUUGGAAUUAAUCUAUCUAAUUUUGCGCAAUUACAUCCUGUGAGUAUGCUGUUGCCAUUUGCAUUGUCUUGCAAACUCCUUUGUAUGCCACAGGAAUUUGAUUUCUGGAGCAUGGAUGUUUGGAGUGUGAUACUGUGCUUAUUGGCCCAUGUAAUUUAUAAGUACGAGUAGGUUUCAUCUAAGGGCACUUUCUGGAUGGAGUCCAAUAUUUUUUUAGCCUGAUGGCAAUUUUGGUUUUUGAUCUUUGCGUUUGAAACAAAAGAAGAGUUGUGUGAAUUAGUUAGUACUAUAUAGUAUGACAGCUUGGCCAUCACCGUUCUAUUUUAGCUGAUAACUUUGACAUCUGAAGUAAGUUUUGCUUUACCUUAGUACUGUACUGUUUCAACUUUCAAAGAAGUUUAAUUGGAAAUAGUAACUGAAACACCGUAAGUAUUUUGCUUGCUAUUUCAGGAUGCUGCUACACUAGCCUGUUUCCUAUAAAUUUCCUUUGAAUCAAAGGGGGCCUUAUGUUCCGAAGGUCUAAGGAAGGCUCUCUCUUUGUUCUUGAUUAGCUUGUAAGCUAACUGGCAAGCAUGAGGUAUGCACUACACUGCUGCAUCUUUUAUCAAAGCUUGCUGUUGGAGUUGUUGCUCUGCAGGAUAUGCCAUGUGUGAAGAUGAUGACCAAACUCUUGUGGACUCUAGAAUCUUAUAAUGUUAUCCUUUGGUUCUUUGUCCAGUGAGGUUGUUUGAGGUGUAUAAUUUUUUUCGAAGGUUCUACUGCAAGAGCAUCCUGAAUUUCUGUUGGGCUUGUUUGCAUUAAACAUUCCAUGCUGAAUUGAAGUUAACUACAUUCUGUUUACAUCUUUACAGUGGCAUGCAUCUAAGCUUAAUGAAUAUUAACUACGCAACCUUGUGUUCCUCCAAUUAUUCCUGGUACAAUCAUCAACACUGUCUACAUAUGUAUCUUGCCCAACGUUUAGCUCACAGUGCUAUGUUCUUCAUGGCCGACCAUCCAAGACCUGAGAUAUUCAUCUCUGGUUGCAUGCAUCUCUGAUACAGCUUCUGCCAACAUCAUUCGCUCUCUGGGUUGUUGCUUUGAGCAUGAUAUGCCGAGCCUAAGAACAGACACCAAGCACUGUUGAAUAAUUCUUGUUUUUAUGCUUUCAUUUUUAACAUCUGCAACAUUUUCUUCUUCAUGAAGCCAGAUUGUUGGAUCAGCUAUGUCUAGGGGUUGGUGAAGAAAAGAAGCUGCAACAAACUUGUGCAGAUCCAUUGAAUCCCUGAAAAUGUCAUCAGUAGGGCUCCUUCCAGUAAACAUCUCAAGCAACAAUAUGCCUAAGCUGUAAGUAUCGCCUGCUCUGGUUAUUGUAGACCCUUCCCCAUACUCUGCAAUGUUUGCAAUCAAAGUUAGUUGUCAACCGUACCCUCCACAUGUAAAACAAAUACAAAGUGCCCCAGUACUCCAAUCCACACCCAUGAGGGAGGAGGGGGAGGGAUUAUGGGAAUUAAUGUAAGAAGUUCAGUUUUUUUUUAAAAAAAAAAAUCUACCUGGUGCAAUAUAACCAAUGGAACCUCUGAUUCCAAUUGAGCUUUUCGAACUUUGAAGAGUUUUAGUACUACUUUUCGGGAGGAUUCUUGAUAUGCCAAAAUCUCCAACCUUAGCACUCUUGUCUUCUGAUAGAAGAAUAUUACUAGGUUUCAGAUCACAGUGUAUGAUUGGUGGCUGGCAGUGAUUGUGAAGAUAAUCCAGUGCAUCAAAGAUAUCAACAGCAAUGUUGAGUCUCUGUGAAAGGCUGAGUGUAUUGCUAGGAGUGAGAUUGCUUGACUUGGGAUGAAUCCAACCAUCCAAGCUACCAUUGGGCAUGAACUCAAAAACCAAUGCCUUGAACUCUUGACCCUGUGGACCAAUACUUGAGCAACAAGUGAUGAUCUUUAUGAGACAACGGUGGCGUACUCUUCUCAGAGCCUCACAUUCAGCCUCAAAGCUUUUUGAAGAUCCUGAUUGUUGAAGGUCGAACACUUUUACAGCAACAAGUGCACUCUCAUCGUCUAAAGUACAUCUAAAAACAGAACCAUAUCUUCCUUUGCCAAGCAGGUUGGCUUCUGAAAAUUCAUUACUUCCUCUUGAUAAUGCAUAAUAUGAAACCCUUUGAUACUGUUCCUCAAUAACCAGGGAUGUUGCUUGUCUAUUUUGUCUUUGUUUGAACUUCCUUUGGUGUAACAGAAUAACUACAAUAGCAGAAACUAACACCAAUAUUGCACCCGUUGUUGGCAGAGCUAUUGCAAGAGACUUCAGAUGCUGGUUUCUGUUCUUGCUUACAUUGAGAAUGGGACAUGGAGCCAAGUGAAGCUGGGGUAUUCCACCGCACAAGUUAUUCCCCACAACCGAUGCAAAAGUCAGGUUUCUGAAAACACCCUUAACUGGAACUUCCCCUUGCAAUUUGUUGAAGGACACAUCUAAUUGCCACAGCGUUGUCAAAUUUUGUAGAGUUGCUGGGAUUGGUCCUGAAAAAUUGUUGUGUGCUAGAAACAGCUGUUGCAGAUUGGGAAUCCUAGCAAUGGUGUUGGGGAUCCUGCCAGAUAACUUAUUCAUGGUUAGGUUCAGUAUGGUGAGCCCUUUUAGGUUGCUCAGAGAUUGUGGUAUUCCUCCUUCAAAUGAGUUCUCUUCUAGAUAGAGGGCUUCCAUCACUUCACAAUUUCCUAUACUGUCAGGUAUUUGUCCAGAUAGCUGGUUUCCGGAUAGAUCCAUUCCAUUUAGGUUAACCAAGCUACCAACUUCUGAUGGAAGGGGUCCUGACAGAGAAUUAUAUGACAAGUCCAAGAACCACGAGAGUGACUGCAGCUCAAAAAUUUCUUUGGGGAUCGAACCAUUUAGAUGGUUGUAUGACAAAUCUAGAACAAACAGUUUUUUUAGAUCCCCAAGGCUUGGUGGGAUUGGGCCUUCCAAAUUGCAGUAGAAUGCGUAUAUCCUAUUCAAAUUUGUAAGAUUUCCAACAGAUGCCGGUAUGAGGCCUGACAGGCUGGUAUUGUACAGGGAAAUUUCAACCAAGUUUGUUAGCUUCCCGAUGCUUUCAGGAAUCACUCCAGAUAAUAUGGAAUUGAACCCCAGAUCGAGAAAGCUCAAGCCUACCAGAUUGCCAAUGUCCUCAGGUAUGCUCCCCGAGAUAUUGUUGUUAUCUAAAUUGAGCAUUUGUAGCGUCGUUGACAGGUUCCCAAUUGGCCUUGGCAGCUGCCCACUGAAAGAGUUGUUAGCGAGGACAAAUUCUUGCAGCUGGCUGCAGUUUGACAGUGAAGUGGAAAUUCCCAGCCCUUGGUGUUAUCUGCCUCAAGUUGAUUUCCUACCAAAUACAAAUACUGAAGAUAUUGCAACCUCCCCAAGUUGGGAGGCACAAAUCCGGUGAAUUUGUUGUCUGAGAGGUACAGAUCCGUGAGUGUUGAAAGAUUGGAGAGAGAAUGAGGGAUGACUCCUGUAAACCGGUUAACAUCCAAUCCAAACACUUGUAUACCGGGAAGCAUGCGACCAAUGUCAGAAGGGAUGCUGCCAUGCAGCAUGUUAUUGCCAACCUGGAGCAUCAUCAGCGACGACAAAUUGUACAGAGAUAGCGGAAGUUCGCCGGAAAGGUUGUUUGCAUUGAGAAAAAGAUAACGCAGACCUGCGAUAUCGCCGAGGCCUGGAGGGAUGAGACCCUCAAGCUUGUUGUAACUCAGAGACAAGUGCUGCAACGACGAAAGGUUGGCUAGCGAGGCCGGGAUCUUCCCUGUUAAGCUGUUCUUCCUGAGCUGAAGCUUCUUGAGCCGUGGCAGCGUGUUACCGAGCUCCGGAGGAAUUCGCCCGCCAAGCUGCGGGUUGGACUGGAUCCGCAGGAUUGUCAAGCUGAUGCAGGAGCUCAGAUUAGCAGGGAUCACACCUGAGAUGGAGUUGUGGUCCAUAUCGAGGACCAGGAGACGCCGGAGCCGGCCGACGGCCGGAGGUAUCUCGCCGUGCAGCUGGUUGGAGCUCAGGUUGAGCCGCCGUAGGAAGGUGAGGUUCCCGACGGCCGGCGGGAGCGUGCCGGUGAGGUUGCUCGACGGCAGGUCCAGCGCCGCCACCCUCGUCGGCCACCGGUGGCUGCAUGUCACGCCCUCCCAGCCGCAGAAGCUGGCGCUGGUGUUCCAUGAGGCGAGCGCGCUUGAGCUGCUCCCGCUGAGCCCUGCCUUGAGAGCAAGCAGCGCCGGCUCAUCGCUUGCCGUGCCGGUGCCGAUCGUCAUCAGGACGCAGAGGAGGGACAAUGCAAGCCUCAUCCGACGUAUCGCCAUGUGGAUUCUUGGUUCGGUUUGAGGGAGCGUUCUUGGAGCAGAGUUUAGUUAACACGACUAGCUAUUUUAGUUAAAUGGAGAUACUAGCAUAUCUCUGUUUCCUGCUGAUCACCAGUACCAGUACAUUUUUCUUUUUCUUCUUUUGGAAGAUUUCACCUGACUUUGUUGACCUGGUUGGGACUGGUUCUCAGUUGCACUAGGGCCCGCCCGGUUUAGUUCUCAAAAUAAAAAUUUUAACUCUGUCACUUUGAACAUUCGGAUAAAUAUAUGAAGUAUUAAAUAUAAAAAAAAUACUAAUUAUAUAGAUUAUGUGUAAAUUAUGAGACGAAUCUUUUAAGUCUAAUUACAGUAAAUAUUUGCUUGUUAAUGAUAAAUUAAUUAUGUUUAAUAAAUUUAUCUCAUAGCUUACUAUCGGAUUUUGUAAUAAGUAUUUUUAUCAGUGCCGGACAUUUGCUAAUGCUGGACUAUUAGAAGCAGUGUACAUUCCACUAUGCCACCAAACGCAAGUGGUCGGUCAGGAAAAGUGACAAAUACUGCCAACAUGCCGUGAGAAUAUCUUAUGACAAACUAGUGUUCCUUUUCAGCGACCGUGGCGACGAAAGGAAAAAAUUGACUUGACUAGAAUGCUAAAUGAUUAAGAAGGUGUGUUGGGGGAUUAGAACGUAGAUGACUUAUUAAUAUAUGAUUAAUUAAUUAUUAAUUAUUUUAAAUUUAAUUAAUUAAUUAAUAUGAUUUUUUUUGAAAGAAAAAACGAGGCUAGCACCUCCUGUGACGCCGCGACCUCUCAGAGACGGCGAGCUCGAGCUUUGGUGUUGGGACUCUGCCGAGCAUUCGUGCCGUGCAUAUCUGGAAGGAGAUUUGACUGAACAGGGAGCCACUUCGCCGUCACAAAGGACUAGAUUUGCGUUGGUUUUAAUAGCUGUCUUACAGCUAAGUGAUGUAGAUGAAACUCGAUCCAUAACUGAGGGACAAGAAGUGAACUUUUUUUCAAGCUCUGAACAUAUGGAUUGCAUUUCGAGGAACAUGAAGGAAUUAACCAGCCCACUGAGGUCCAUAAGUAAACACGAUGUAGACAUGUAGUACACAAAUCCAUAGGCUCAGCCCAUUUUGUACUGUAUAGUCCAAGCAGGCUCAAAGCUAGAUUCUUUACCAGCAUGAAACUUCAGAUGAAGUUCGUGUAGCCAGCAACAUCCAAGUAAGCAAGAUAAACAUCCAGUGACACAAGUCACAUUAAAGCAACAUUCAAGCAAACAAGCAAAAUUAGUAUACCAACUCACUAGUUCAGUUUCACUAGAUAGAAAGCAUACCACAUGACACAGCACUGCAUUCUUAAUUACGUACACACCACAAGACUGGAGAGGAAGGACUACAUCAUCGUACACACGCCAUAGAUGUCUCAAAACAUCUUUAUUCUUAGCACUUAUUUAACUAGGAUGCAUUUCUUCAGUCUCAGGUCUUAGAUCACAAACUCAGAGGAAACACAAAGUUACAGUGACAACAACUCAUCACUUGUAACUGGAUCAAACUACUAGCUUAGCAGUACUAGGCCCUUCCAUCUCCUUGGUUUCGUCAGGAGGUUGCUUGCUUCACUUGCCGCAGUUGCAGGGGUUGCAGGUGCAGUUGUCGCCGCACUUGCACCCGUUCUCUGCUCCUGCUCCGGCGGCGGCGCCGGCCUCCAACCCCUCGGCAUGACUGCAUCCAUCAGAGAAUCAGCCAACCAUAGAUCAGUAAUUAAUUAGAACUCAGCGAAACAUGAAACAAUCUUGGAUUGUUGCUACGCAAUUUUCAGAGUAAAAGGCAUCAUCGUUUUCUUCAGAUAAAGGGGAGAGUUUUUGUCAUAACGUGCAUGAAGUUUUUAGUCGUUUUCCUUACGCUGUAGCUAGCGCUGCAAUUUUGUCAUACGUACACGUAAAAUGGAAGGCAGUGAGCCUCUUGACUCUCGACAAAAUGUUUUGUUCUUUGUGACUCAGAAGGAAAAAAAAAAGGCAGGAAACAUAUGACAAUUGACAAAAGAGGUUGGUAGCUAGAAAGAUGGAGGUACUCAAUUCUGUUCUAUUAGAGUAUAUGAUAGUUAGAGUAGGAUAAGAUUGAUUUACAUGGACUUCUUUCAUAUCUAUAAUCUUUUCUUAUCUCUACACUGUACUCCUAUAUAUACUGCCCCCUGAGACUCAUUGUAUUACAAUGGUGUCGAUAAUCACAAUAUUUCCCUCUCCCUAUACUAUUCUACAAAUUCAGUAACACAUGGAUUUUGCCAAUGAAUCACAAGUACAUGACAUGGAGAAGGAAAGGAUUAGUGCACAUACCCC
RNAcentral lists this long non-coding RNA (29176 nucleotides) under Oryza sativa (Asian cultivated rice). Its description in RNAcentral is "long non-coding RNA (OSAT_LNC001397)". The record is from RNAcentral. Lineage: Eukaryota; Viridiplantae; Streptophyta; Magnoliopsida; Poales; Poaceae.